RNAcentral lists this ribosomal RNA (1122 nucleotides) under Triticum aestivum (bread wheat). Its description in RNAcentral is "partial small subunit ribosomal RNA". Lineage: Eukaryota; Viridiplantae; Streptophyta; Magnoliopsida; Poales; Poaceae. The record is from RNAcentral.
AUGAGUGUGUUCAGAUUACCUGCUUCAGUCUGUGAUGACUUGACGGGCAUGAUGAGGCAAUAUUGGUGGGGAGUUGAGAAGGGUAAAAGGAAGAUGGCAUGGUUGAGUUGGGACAAGAUGAUGCUACCCAAGUUGAAAGGUUCUUGGCUUCGGGAUAUGAGUGCGUUUAACUAAGCAUUGUUAGCAAAACAGGCUUGGCAUUUAUUGGAUAACCCUAAGAGCUUAUGUGCACGGCUGCUUAACGCGAAAUACUAUCCAAAUGGGAACCUUUUGGACACAAUAUUUUCAGGCAAUGCUUCUGCGGAGUGGAAGGGAACUGACUAUGGUUUGGAUCUUGUCAAAAAGGUAAUAUGGAGGGUUGGAGAAGGGCGUUCUAUUCAUGCUUGGCGGGAUCCAUGGAUUCCUUGAGGCCCAUCCCUUCGCCCUAUAACACCAAGAAGAAAUUGUCGACUGAAACGGGUCUCGGAUUUCAUUGAUGAGCAUGGUGCAUGGAUUCGGGAAAAAGUUGAGGAGUUUUUCUGGCCUAUGGAUGUGAUACAAAUAUUUAAAAUCAGGACUUCGCCACGUCUCCAGGAGGAAUUUUUGGCUUGGCACCUGGAGCGGUCAGGCAGGUUCACAUUAAAAAGUGCUUACCAUCCAGCUACUCUACUACAUGAUGAUGAUUUUGGCGGGGGUGCUAGCAGCGCUCUCCCGGGGGAGCUUCCAUUCUGGUGUAAUAUUUGGCAUACUAUAGUGCCUCUGAAGAUGAAAAUCUUAGCCUGGAAAGCGGUAUCACCUGCAUUGCCACCUCGGAAAAUAUAACAGUACGAGCACUUGUCGACUCAUGCAUCAUGUCCUAUUUGCAAUCGGGAAGUCGAAGGGUCAUUCCAUGCCCUAGUUGGGUGCGCCCAUGCACAGGGCCUUUGGAAUGCGAUGAGUGUUGUUUGGCCUAUUCCGCGCAAAGAAUAGGUGCUUGAUGCCGGCAAUGAUUUGCUUCUGCCGCUCUUGGCAAGUUGCUCGGACAUUGCACAUAGCAUGAUUGUGAUGCUGGUGUGGCGCAUAUGGCAGGUUCGGGUUGACAUCACACAUGGAAAGGAGGCCCCCCAGUCCAGGCCUCGGUGGAAUUUCUAUAAAGCUACAUGA